Molecule: ribosomal RNA, 426 nt
Filed under: uncultured bacterium
Lineage: Bacteria
Description: bacterial SSU rRNA
Rfam family: Bacterial small subunit ribosomal RNA
Source: RNAcentral
GUCGGGAAUAUUGCCCAAUGGCCGAAAGGCUGAGGCAGCAACGCCGCGUGCGCGAUGAAGGCCUUCGGGUCGUAAAGCGCUUUUCGGGUGGAUGAGACAGGACAGUACACCCGGAAUAAGGUACGGCUAACUACGUGCCAGCAGCCGCGGUAAAACGUAGGUACCGAGCGUUAUCCGGAUUUACUGGGCGUAAAGCGCGUUCAGGCGGUUUGACAAGUCGGGCAUGAAAUCUCUCGGCUCAACCGGGAGAGGUUGUCCGAUACUGUCAGACUUGAGGGCAGUAGAGGGUGGUGGAAUUCCGGGUGUAGUGGUGAAAUGCGUAGAUAUCCGGAGGAACACCAGUGGCGAAAGCGGCCACCUGGACUGUACCUGACGCUCAAACGCGAAAGCUAGGGGAGCGAACGGGAUUAGAUACCCUGGUAGUCC